GGGCACCGUGCUGGCUUCACCGCUGAGGGCCGGAGCUCUGAGGGCCCGCGCUGAUUCCCACGGCGCUGAGGGAAAGCAGGGAACGUGCCAUCCCAAGCCCGGCACCUGCAUAAUCUUCAUUUCUGUCUAGUACUAGGGUACUAGUACUAGAUGGGACACCAAUGGAUGCAUGCCAGCAGUGUUGAAAUCCAUCAGCUGAAACAGAAUAAUUUUGGAAAGAUACCGCUGGAUCAGUUGUCCAAGGUUGCAGUCUUGAAAGUGAAGAACAUUGCACAAGCAAAAUUGGGAAUCUGUAUUCAUCCCUUCUCAGUGUGCAAAGAGGAAGAAAGGGCCUAUGCCUGAGCAGGAAGAGUCCAACACCAGUUCUUAAGACCCAGCAUCAGGACAGAUGGCCUCAGCUCACUCCAGCAACUCAGUUCAGCUGCUAUGAAAAAAUAAACACUAAGAAGCAUUCUUAUCACAGCAAUGAGACACAGCCAAGCCCUGGAAAGGAAAGGGAACCUGCCUCCUGGAGGACAAGAAGCAUUGUUCUGUCACAGUGAAUAGCACCAGCUGGGCUCUCAGAAGGCUUUCUACAGGCAGGCUGCUGGGAAGAAUUCACACUCUAAAUGCGCCUUGCAGUAAUUUACCCCAGACGCAAAUAAGU
Molecule: long non-coding RNA, 646 nt
Organism: Corvus hawaiiensis (hawaiian crow)
Lineage: Eukaryota; Metazoa; Chordata; Aves; Passeriformes; Corvidae
Exons: 3
Source: RefSeq, a predicted model, not a curated record